AUGGCGCUGCGCUCUCCCUCCAGCACUUCGCGGCGGAAUCUGGGACCCCGUUAUUCGCCGCCGGCGGACUCUCUGCCUCCCACCUCUCAGGCUGGAUCCGGCAAUGGAGCUAGAGCUGGUGUUGCUAUGAAGGUGAAGGAGGCUGAACAUAUGUUGGCAAAUUUAGAAGAAGAGGGAGUGGAGAUAGAUGGCAACAUAGCUAGUAUUAUUAAUGAUGAGAUAGCUAGAAUUAAAGCUGAAGCUGAGAGGGAGAAGAUUAUCAAUGUGCUGACAAGGAACGGGCGGAUGGUACUGCUCACUAUUGCAUCUGCUGCUGCUGGUUUCUUCCUGGGAGGGGAAUGUUACGAACGGGCCCUCUAUGCGCAACUGGCCAUGAUUUUUGGUGAACCAUAG
Molecule: ribosomal RNA, 393 nt
Filed under: Triticum aestivum (bread wheat)
Lineage: Eukaryota; Viridiplantae; Streptophyta; Magnoliopsida; Poales; Poaceae
Description: partial small subunit ribosomal RNA
Source: RNAcentral